UUUUUUUUUUUUUUUUUGAGACUGAGUCUCGCUCUGUCGCCCAGGCUGGAGUGCAGUGGCGCAAUCUCGGCCCACUGCAAGCUCCGCCUCCCGGGUUCAAGCCAUUCUCCUGCCUCAGCCUCUCCAAGUAGCUGGGACUACAGGCGCCCACCACCACGCCCAGCUAAUUUUUUGUAUUUUUAGUAGAGACGGGGUUUCACCGUGGUCUCGAUCUCCUGACCUCAUGAUCCGCCCGCCUCGGCCUCCCAAAGUGCUGGGAUUACAAGCGUGAGUCACCGCGCCCGGCUGAGCACUUCCCCUUUCACUCAUUCUCUCCCGCUCCACCAUGUGAAGAAGGUGCUUGCUUCCUCUUCACCCUCUGCCAUGAUUGUAAGUUUCCCCAGGUCUCCCCAGCCAUGCCUCCUGUACAGCCUGUGAAACUGGGUUGAUUAAACCUCUUUUCUUUAUAAAUUAUCCAGUCUCAGGUAGUUCUUUAUGGCAGUGUGAGAAUAGACUAAUACAGAAAAUUGAUACCAGAGAAGUGGGGCAUGGAUAUAAAGAUACCUGAAAAGGUGGAAGCGACUUUGGAACUGGGAAAUAGGCAGAGGUUGGAACAGUUUGGAGGGCUCAGAAGAAGACAGGAAGAUGAGAGAAAGUUUGGAACUUCCUAGAGACUUGUUGAAUGGUUGUGACCAAGAUGCUGAAAAUGAUAUGAACAGUGAAAUCCAGGCUGCGGUGGUCUCAGAUAGAGGAACUUAUUAGGAAGUGGAGUAAAGGUCACUCUUGCUAUACUUUAGCAAAGAGACUGGCAGGCACUGUGCCCCUGCUCUAAAGAUUUGUGGAACUUUGAACUUGAGAGAGGUGAUUUAGGGUAUCUGGCAGAAGAAAUUUCUAAGCAGCCAAGUAUUCAGGAUAUGGCCUGGCUGCCUCUAACAGCCUACAUUUAUUUGCAUAAACAAAGAAGUGACCUGAAACUAGAACUUAUAUUUAAAAGGGAAGCAGAGCAUAAACAUUUAAAAAAUUUUUGGCCUAAACACGCAAUAGUGAAGAAAAACCUAUGUUCUGAGGAGGAAUUCAAGGCUGCAGAAAUUUGCAUAAGUAAAGGAGAGCCAAAUGUUAAUAGCCAAGACAAAGGGAAAAUGCCUCCAGGGCAUUUCAGACCUUAGCAGCAGCCCCUCCCAUCACAGGCCUGGAGGCCUAGGAGGGAAAAAUGGUUUCAUGGGCCAGGCGCAGGACCCUCCUUCUCUGUGCAGCCUUGAGACAUGGUGCCCUGCAUUCCAGCCACUCCAGCUCCAGCCAUGGCUAAAAGGAUCCAAGGACGUUUCCCUGUCUCGGGGGUUCUAUGUGCCUAUCUGUGGCUUUGCAAAGCCUGACAGCCCUGCAGGAUGGGCUUGGUCCUGCUGUCCCUCUGGAAGCCCAAAUUCACAACAACGAACUCACCUUCUUUCCCUGGAUGAGCUGCUCCCAAGUUCAGCACCUCAGACCUGGCCCAACAGCACCUCCUCCAUGAAACAUGCUUCCCUGAUGUGUCUGUUACAUUCCCACCAUCCAAACACUGACAGCUCUUGCAGGAGGGAGCCAUGACGCGCUCAUCUUCUGCAUCUGCAGCUGGUGCCGGGGACCGGUACGUUUGCUGCAUAAGUGAAUGAACCAACGUCCCAGCAAUUCCUGAGCAUUCUUAAGGCUGGUCUGUCUCCCCCAGGAAGCCUGGGCCCCCAGCGUCACCGAGCCGUGCACACAGAGAGAUAAUCAUCUUGGUGUCCCUCUGGACCUGGAAGCUGGAUGGUGUCGCUAAGAAAGCCAGAGCUGCUUUGCCUCCUAUAUUGCUACUGAAAUUUGCAACUCAAGUGUUGCAUAACCAAGGGAAUCUGGCUUCCCUCUGAACAUCCCUCCCACUUAGUAUGAGAAAUAGAGAAAGAGCCAAAGUUAGGUCAAGACUCACCUGAGGAGGCCCCUGGCCCACCAUCGAGGUCAUGCCUGUCACUCCCCAGGCUGCCCCUCCCGGGGAACAGGGUCAUGCGGGGUUAGGGGGUAGCUCACUCCCAGUGGGUAACUGGAUUGCCCUGGGGAGGGGGACAAAGAAUCAGAGCGUAGGCCAUUCUCACUUCAGACCAGGGUGAUUGCAGACUGUCCCUCCUUCCCCCUUGGAGGGAACAUCUGCAAUUCAGGGACUUCUGCAAAAAUUUCACACUCAGGGCUAAGAGCAAUUCUAUUACUUAGAGGAUUCUAACUUGGCUUAGAGGAGGUUUUUACCCUCCUCCGGUUAAAUGGACCAAGUAUUUGGAAAAUUACCUCACAGAGUCAUGCCACCAACACCAAAUGAGAGCCAUCUGUACAGAUGAAACAGUUAGGAGCUUUUGUGUCACUGCAGGCCGAAAUGUGUAGCCCAUUCAUUGUGAGAGGAGGCACUUUAUUCCUGAGUUUCUUUUUUUUUUUCUAACACAGAAGAUGCCUCAGUCAGCGCGUAGGAAACAGGAAGGAACCCGUUGUUUUAAAUAGCAGACAGCAGAGAAUUGACUCAUUAUGGUCUGCUUGCUCCGAGAGUGUCAGCCAGAAGGCAGCCAGCCCAGCCCCCACAGCCCCAAGACAAGGGUCAGGGGGCAUGGCUGGGAUUUUCUCGCAGGGAGUCUGAGAGAAUCCAGUUCAAACCCUUUUCAGAGGGAACUGGUGAAGCCCUAGGUUUCUAUCUUACUAGAGACUUCACCACACAGGGCUGUCUUAAAAAAAUGUAAGAAUAAGAAAGGACAAAAACAAAAGCCCCCAUAUAAACCUACAAGAAUACCUGGAAGUCAGACAUCCUGCAUUUCCCUUUCCUACCCCGAAUGACUCGGAGUAGGACAAACACAGUUGCAAGCCUCCUUUCUUAUCUUGGCAAUUGCUUCUUUUCACUCUUCUGGGGUUUACAACAGUUGGCCCAGAGGUGUGAGGGAACAGACGGUAGCAGCAUCUGCUGGGACAGAGGGCCCUACACAAAGGUAAUUUCAUGCAGGGAAAAUGCGCCCCCCUCCCCUCCAAUCCCGGGCUGCUGGGCCCAGGAGCCCAAGGGUUAAUCUGUCUCAAAUCCAUCACUGUGACAGCCAAGCACACAAAUUAGUCCUGCCCAAGCUGUCCCAACCUCUGAAUUUAAUUUUUUAAAAGUGCUUUGUAUUGUUUCUGAUGUUCAGAUUGGAGUCCAGGUGUCGUGAGGGACCCCGGGGGAUAUGAGAGGGUAAGACCCUCGAGUACUGCAUCUCACAUCACCCUCCAAUGUCCUGUGUCUUCUUUGUCAAGGCAGACUAAGGGUGACUUAAUUUCCAACACGCAGGCCCAGGAACCUUGAAACUGACCAGCUCGAGCCUCCUUGCAAGCCUCUCCAGCUGUGAAAAUCCCCUGGCUCGUAGACCUAUGUUGUCCACACGAUGCUUUUCCUGCAUUUUGCAGACAACUGCUGAUCUCCAAGGGCGGGCCAUGCGUGGCUGUAUCUCCCAUCCAGAGAACAUCUACAAAGCUCACGCAGCCAUGGGGACUCAUAGUUUGACCUGAAACUGAUGGUGACUCCUGUCACCAACAGGAGUGGUCAAAACAUCCUUUCUGGAGUAUUAAGUGUUUGUAGAACCCUGGACAUUUAUGGCGGCAGAGUGUGUAGCAGCCUCAAGGAGAAAUCAUCCCCCACCACUGCCCCUUUCUAGAAUCACACCAAGUAAUUGGGGUUCUCAGUAGAGUCUGGAGGCAAUCCUGGAGACUGAGGAAGGAGAGAGCCUUCCACUUUUCCAUUUCUCCCAAGCCAUUUUGUAUGCCUACAGGUGUCAGUAUAAACCAAAGAAUGUGCCUUGUCUCAGAUAAAAAGUUAGAGUAACCAUAUAAUUUACUGUCUAAACCUGGACACGGAUGAGAGUGAAAAGGAGAGCUAUUAAUAAUGAUGCCAGAAUGACAGGUGUAGAUGGUGACUGUCCCAGGCAAACUGGGACAUAUGGUCAUGCUAUGACUGUGAGCUCUAAAUUGUUGCAGGCUCCAGUGCUGGCCGUCUAUUAGGUUUAUUUAUAAUAUAAUACCCAAGUGACCCUAGGUCCACAGGGUAGAGGGGGUUGAGGAGGGUAAGGAAGGUCAGCAACCAUGCCUGUCUGAAGGCCAUGUGGAGGUAGGGAAUGGGGAGAAAGGGGAUCAAUUUAAUCCAGAAAAAGCUGACUCCGCUACAGACUUGAGGAAAUCCAGGUCCUUUUUCUUGUCUGAGCUGCUACUUGCUCUCAGCAAAGAAACUGAGUUCUGCCAACUCCCACUCCAGCUGCAAAAUGCAGCAGAGUCCUGAGGUUGGAAUUCCAGGCCCACUAUCCCCACUAGCUUCUGUAAGUCCAUCAGAAGAUAGGACCUCAGGUCUGCAACAUUUACCUUGGAUUUCUGUCAAAAAGUCCAAGCAGAUGGUAUUCUCCUUCAUCUCUUCUUACAGACAGUGACAGAUCCACUGCUCAAAAUCCUUUCCCCACCCUAAGCAAGGCUAUAGCAGAAACCGUCUUCUUCUAGGCCUUGCCUGUUUAACCUAGCCAGCCAGAGGUUUAUAAAAGACAACUUCCUCUAUUUCCAGAGGCGAAAAAAAUCUAAAGUAGUCUAUUUAAAAUUUUCUCUCUUCAGACCCCAAAGAAUAAAAAAAGUUUUUAACUAUUGGAUGGAAAUUCUUUUUUGUUCACUUAAAACAGAUGAUCCCCUUCUAGAGUAGAAAUAGUUAAUUGGUCUACAAAAUAGUAUUCUAUAACAUGUCUUAUCCUUAUCCUCAAUCUGUAAGCAAAAAUUAUAUUGAAAUCCAAUUGAAAUGAUCCAAAGUGGCUACGAAGAUAAAAUUAUUCUUCCAGAAACAUGGUACUGUGGAUAGAGAAUUCAAGAAAACUCCUUUAGAUAUCAUAUAUACCACAACAUAUCACUUGAAAAAGAAAAAAAAUCCUUUAUGUAACCAUAAAAAAUAAGAAAUUCAUAUUUUGCAUUCUUAUAUAAAUUCAAUUGAAUAAUAGAUUAGAACUUAAAAUCAGUUUUUGUCAGAGUCAGUUCUCUCGUUAUCACGCUUUCCUUUUCCCUGAAUAAAGCUAUUAUUAGUGGACUCAUAAUUUACUAGACUGUGAUCUCCCAAAAGACAAAGACUUUUACUUUGUUCAUGUUUUUGCUUUAAGAAAAGUAUACAAUAAAUAUUUGAUAUGUAAAUAAAAAGUCAUACUAAGCAUCAAAUUAUAGCAAUAAAUAUAAAUGGCCUAUA
Molecule: long non-coding RNA, 5197 nt
Organism: Symphalangus syndactylus (siamang)
Lineage: Eukaryota; Metazoa; Chordata; Mammalia; Primates; Hylobatidae
Source: RefSeq, a predicted model, not a curated record